RNAcentral lists this long non-coding RNA (392 nucleotides) under Dromaius novaehollandiae (emu). RNAcentral's name for it is "lncRNA (ENSDNVG00000016036.1)". The record is from RNAcentral. Lineage: Eukaryota; Metazoa; Chordata; Aves; Casuariiformes; Dromaiidae.
AUCGACGGAUGCAAUGAAAAGUUAAUGAAGGUAACUGUGCCUUGCCGAAUCCGGGCUCUUCCCUUCCCCGCUGACCCCUCCGCUSUCCAAUUAACAUCCAGGCUGGAUGGCCCGGCUGGGAUGCGUUUGCCCAGGUUUCCUGCGCUCAGGGAGCCAGCGAUGGAGGGGUCUGUCCGAGCAGCGUGUGUGGAGAGAAGGUGACCUGCCACGGCCAAGGGCUGGCAAUGACAGCGYAAGUGAAAAGCAAAGCAGUUGGAGCUUGCAGCAUCCCAGCAGCUGGCACCAUCUUAGAGGGUGAUUAACAACCAAGAGCCGCAAAAAAUUUGCUUCUGGCUUGGCUCUCUGGCUCUCCCAUUGCUGUCCCUGCGGUUUCUGGGGGAAUGCAAGGGGAC